This 497-nucleotide ribosomal RNA is filed under the name uncultured bacterium. Its description in RNAcentral is "partial 16S ribosomal RNA". It matches the Rfam family "Bacterial small subunit ribosomal RNA", at positions 28 to 507 of the family's 1533-position model. The record is from RNAcentral.
GAUGAACGCUGGCGGCGUGCCUAAUACAUGCGAGUCGAGCGAACAGACGAGGAGCUUGCUCCUCAGACAUUAGCGGCGGACGGGGGAGUAAAACGUGGAUAACCUACCUAUAAGACUGGGAUAACUCAGGGAAACAGGAGCUAAUACCGGAUAAUAUAUUUAAUCGCAUGGUUGAAUAGAGAAAGACGGUUGUGCUGUCACGUAUACAUGGAUCCACGCCGCAUUAUGUAUUUGGUAAGGUAACGGCUUACCAAGGGAACGAUGCGUAGCCGACCUGAGAGGUGGAUCGGCACAAUGGGAACGGGGACACGGCCCGAACUCCUACGGGAGCAAGCAGUAGGGAACCUUCCGCAAUGAGCGAAGGCCUAAGGGGGCAACGCCGCUUGAGUGAUGAAGGUCUUGGGAUCUUAAAACCCUGUUAUCAGGGAAGAAGAAAUGUGUAAGUAACUAUGCACGGAUUGACGGUACCUAAUCAGAAAGCCACGGCUAACUACGUG